AUUGAACGCUGGCGGCAGGCCUAACACAUGCAAGUCGAACGGUAGCACAGAGGAGCUUGCUCCUUGGGUGACGAGUGGCGGACGGGUGAGUAAUGUCUGGGAAACUGCCCGAUGGAGGGGGAUAACUACUGGAAACGGUAGCUAAUACCGCAUAACGUCGCAAGACCAAAGAGGGGGACCUUCGGGCCUCUUGCCAUCGGAUGUGCCCAGAUGGGAUUAGCUAGUAGGUGGGGUAACGGCUCACCUAGGCGACGAUCCCUAGCUGGUCUGAGAGGAUGACCAGCCACACUGGAACUGAGACACGGUCCAGACUCCUACGGGAGGCAGCAGUGGGGAAUAUUGCACAAUGGGCGCAAGCCUGAUGCAGCCAUGCCGCGUGUAUGAAGAAGGCCUUCGGGUUGUAAAGUACUCUCAGCGAGGAGGAAGGCGUUGUGGUUAAUAACCGCAACGAUUGACGUUACUCGCAGAAGAAGCACCGGCUAACUCCGUGCCAGCCGCCGCGGUAAAAGGG
RNAcentral lists this ribosomal RNA (511 nucleotides) under uncultured Enterobacterales bacterium. Its description in RNAcentral is "bacterial SSU rRNA". It matches the Rfam family "Bacterial small subunit ribosomal RNA", at positions 29 to 528 of the family's 1533-position model. Lineage: Bacteria; Pseudomonadati; Pseudomonadota; Gammaproteobacteria; Enterobacterales. The record is from RNAcentral.